RNAcentral lists this ribosomal RNA (46 nucleotides) under Gymnopus iocephalus. RNAcentral's name for it is "partial 28S large subunit ribosomal RNA". The record is from RNAcentral. Lineage: Eukaryota; Fungi; Basidiomycota; Agaricomycetes; Agaricales; Omphalotaceae.
CAUUUAACCUCAAAUCAGGUAGGACUACCCGCUGAACUUAAGCUAU